Choloepus didactylus (southern two-toed sloth) is the source of this 440-nucleotide long non-coding RNA. RefSeq lists it as uncharacterized. NCBI's taxonomy places the organism in Eukaryota, Metazoa, Chordata, Mammalia, Pilosa, Megalonychidae. The record is from RefSeq and is a predicted model, not a curated record. The transcript is spliced from 4 exons.
GAAUCUGGAGCCUCUCCGAGAGGCUAUGAAUGUGAGGGUUAGACCACGUUAAUGCCAAUGGAGCAACUACCCGGAAAAUAAAACCACCGGGCAGAACUUUCUCCUUUGGAGAGCAGUUUCAAGCACAUAGGAGCAGGUGAGGAGGCAACUUUGAGGAGCAGAAGCAGCCUCCUGUGCACCUCGUCACGAAGGCAGCGCCCUUCUCUGCUGGUGGAAAGAUUUGAACUCUACCCAAGAUGGUUGACUGUGGGAACAUCUGUAUUUUCCAGGACUCAGUCACCUGCUGCAAAGGAGUCUGGAAAAUGUAGUUUAAGUGUGUCCGGGAAGAAGAGGAAUCAAGUUUUGUGAACAGCUAGCCAGCUUCUGCCACAAAGAGUAAGUGUACUUUUAAUUUAAAUGUGUAUCACCAAGUCAUUUUUGCAAAUGUCUGUUACAAUUCC